GUGGCGCUCGGGUGGCGGCUCCGGUUCGCCGCCGCCCCGGGCGACGCGGCCCCGGAGAAAUCCCCCUCCUCCGGGUUCUGCAAGGGUCCCUGAGUGGGCUGUAUGUUGAGACUGGAAGACAGAAAGAUUCCCAAAGAUCUGCUGAAUGGAACAGGCUGAGAGACUGAAGGACACUUGGUUGAAGAUUAAAUGUUACCUCUUCACUGUAACUGCACCACACUGGAAAUGAAGCACAUGACUGAGCAUUGUUGGAUCCAAUUCCUGUUUUUUCUUCCUGUACGUCUUCUCUUUGGUAGCAAAACCCCAGAACAAACUUCUUGGUAAUUUGAUACUCUGGAUUGUUACAUAAGUGAAUGA
Molecule: long non-coding RNA, 357 nt
Organism: Ornithorhynchus anatinus (platypus)
Lineage: Eukaryota; Metazoa; Chordata; Mammalia; Monotremata; Ornithorhynchidae
Exons: 3
Source: RefSeq, a predicted model, not a curated record